RNAcentral lists this ribosomal RNA (454 nucleotides) under uncultured Sphingomonadales bacterium. RNAcentral's name for it is "bacterial SSU rRNA". It matches the Rfam family "Bacterial small subunit ribosomal RNA", at positions 29 to 528 of the family's 1533-position model. The record is from RNAcentral. Lineage: Bacteria; Pseudomonadati; Pseudomonadota; Alphaproteobacteria; Sphingomonadales.
AAUGAACGCUGGCGGCAUGCCUAACACAUGCAAGUCGAACGAAGGCUUCGGCCUUAGUGGCGCACGGGUGCGUAACGCGUGGGAAUCUGCCCCUUGGUUCGGAAUAACAGUUGGAAACGACUGCUAAUACCGGAUGAUGACGUAAGUCCAAAGAUUUAUCGCCGAGGGAUGAGCCCGCGUAGGAUUAGGUAGUUGGUGUGGUAAAGGCGCACCAAGCCGACGAUCCUUAGCUGGUCUGAGAGGAUGAUCAGCCACACUGGGACUGAGACACGGCCCAGACUCCUACGGGAGGCAGCAGUGGGGAAUAUUGGACAAUGGGCGAAAGCCUGAUCCAGCAAUGCCGCGUGAGUGAUGAAGGCCUUAGGGUUGUAAAGCUCUUUUACCCGGGAUGAUAAUGACAGUACCGGGAGAAUAAGCUCCGGCUAACUCCGUGCCAGCCGCCGCGGUAAAAGGG